Molecule: ribosomal RNA, 395 nt
Filed under: uncultured bacterium
Lineage: Bacteria
Description: bacterial SSU rRNA
Rfam family: Bacterial small subunit ribosomal RNA
Source: RNAcentral
GACGAACGCUGGCGGCGUGCUUAACACAUGCAAGUCGAGCGGUAAGGCCCCUUCGGGGGUACACGAGCGGCGAACGGGUGAGUAACACGUGGGUGACCUGCCCUCAGCUCUGGGAUAAGCCUGGGAAACUGGGUCUAAUACCGGAUAUGACUCCAUGACGCAUGUCGUGGGGUGGAAAGCCUUGUGCGGCUGGGGAUGGGCCCGCGGCCUAUCAGCUUGUUGGUGGGGUGAUGGCCUACCAAGGCGACGACGGGUAGCCGGCCUGAGAGGGCGACCGGCCACACUGGGACUGAGACACGGCCCAGACUCCUACGGGAGGCAGCAGUGGGGAAUCUUGCGCAAUGGGCGAAAGCCUGACGCAGCGACGCCGCGUGAGGGAUGACGGCCUGGUGUAA